Molecule: ribosomal RNA, 465 nt
Filed under: Salmonella enterica subsp. enterica serovar Thompson
Lineage: Bacteria; Pseudomonadati; Pseudomonadota; Gammaproteobacteria; Enterobacterales; Enterobacteriaceae
Also listed under: 1 other name
Description: partial 23S ribosomal RNA
Rfam family: Bacterial large subunit ribosomal RNA
Source: RNAcentral
GAAUGCUGACAUAAGUAACGAUAAAGCGGGUGAAAAGCCCGCUCGCCGGAAGACCAAGGGUUCCUGUCCAACGUUAAUCGGGGCAGGGUGAGUCGACCCCUAAGGCGAGGCCGAAAGGCGUAGUCGAUGGGAAACAGGUUAAUAUUCCUGUACUUGGUGUUACUGCGAAGGGGGGACGGAGAAGGCUAUGUUGGCCGGGCGACGGUUGUCCCGGUUUAAGCGUGUAGGUGUGUGUUCCAGGUAAAUCCGGUUCACUUUAACACUGAGGCGUGAUGACGAGGCACUACGGUGCUGAAGCAACAAAUGCCCUGCUUCCAGGAAAAGCCUCUAAGCAUCAGGUAACAUCAAAUCGUACCCCAAACCGACACAGGUGGUCAGGUAGAGAAUACCAAGGCGCUUGAGAGAACUCGGGUGAAGGAACUAGGCAAAAUGGUGCCGUAACUUCGGGAGAAGGCACGCUGACAC